CGGGGCGUGGCGCAGCCUGGCUAGCGCACUUGCAUGGGGUGCAAGUUGUCGGAGGUUCAAAUCCUCUCGCCCCGACCA
Molecule: transfer RNA, 78 nt
Filed under: candidate division CSSED10-310 bacterium
Lineage: Bacteria; candidate division CSSED10-310
Description: tRNA-Pro
Rfam family: tRNA
About the family: Transfer RNA (tRNA) molecules are approximately 80 nucleotides in length. Their secondary structure includes four short double-helical elements and three loops (D, anti-codon, and T loops).
Source: RNAcentral